This is a long non-coding RNA of Eriocheir sinensis (Chinese mitten crab), 745 nucleotides long. RefSeq lists it as uncharacterized. Lineage: Eukaryota; Metazoa; Arthropoda; Malacostraca; Decapoda; Varunidae. The transcript has 3 exons. The record is from RefSeq and is a predicted model, not a curated record.
AAGGUGAGGGUGAGGGUGGCCCGGGAGACACUGAAGGGUGAGGGGUCAAGGUGUGGAUGGAAAACUUCUUCAGCCAUAUUUAAGGAGCAGAGAGGUCAGUGUGGCAGAUCUCCUGAAUUUUUCACACACAAAAAAGCACCAGGAGGAUGCAACCAAGUUACCUCGACACUUGCUGGUGCUGGGGCGUCCUGAGAGUGGGAAGACGGCCCUCUUUGCCCUCAUCCUGCACUACUGGCUUCAUGGCAAGCACAGGAUACACAAUCUUGUUAAAUUUGACUUCUUGCUGGCUGUCCAAUGUCUAGGAUUAGAGUCUCUCUCCUCUGAUUGUGAGACAACUACUGUGGAUCUAGAGAAGCACAUGCUGGAUCACCUUCCUAAAUCAGUUGAGAAGCAUGGUGAGGAGGUAGUGCGGCAGGCUAUGAGGAAGGCUAAGGUCCUCCUCAUGAUUGACUCACUGGACUUCCUGGAUAAAACCACUAUAGACAAGGAGACUUCCCUGUCUCCUUGGUCAGACAGUCGUGUGCUUCUGCUCUGUCGAUACAAAUUCAUGAAGGAUAAUAAUGAUCAUGCAUUUUUCUGUGAGCAAAGCGAAGACAACCUGGUGUUGAAACUCUGGGGUGGAUUGGCUCCUAAUCUUUUUCAACUUCCUGAAAACUCUCAUGAAGACAUUUCUGAGCUGGGUGGUGUAUUUUCAGAAAAUUUGUUAACAGAUUACUGCGAGAGAUUAUGCAAAUGUGAAAGACAG